Long non-coding RNA from Rhododendron vialii, 1401 nucleotides. RefSeq lists it as uncharacterized. The record is from RefSeq and is a predicted model, not a curated record. Lineage: Eukaryota; Viridiplantae; Streptophyta; Magnoliopsida; Ericales; Ericaceae. The transcript is spliced from 2 exons.
GAAGAUGAAUCAACAUGAGCAAGAUCACUUCAGAUUUCAUUGGAGAGAUAACUACUAUCGGGAUUCUGAUGUGGACCCUGAGUCCAAGGAACAACCCAGCAAAACUCGGUAAACCCGAAAGGAAGGGAAAAAACAUUAGAGAACAGAAUACUACUUCUGAGUUCUUUGUCUUCUGACCCCAAUUAAGAACCUUACUGACUUUUGUACACAAUGUAACUUAUCGGGAAUAAGCUCUUUCCCUCUUAUUUUCCUUUUUAUGUUGGCAUUUCACAUGCAAUCCUAGCAAUCAAAAAGGGCUUUGCAAGACCAAGUAAUCUUGAUGGCUUGGUUGGGGCUAACAAUUAUGGGAAUUAGUUGGAAAGUGAUCAAACCAUAAUUUGACCAUCCCGUUCUGAAGUGUGCUGUCCUUGCAGCAACCCAAUAACACAAUGAUGAAUGAGGACUUGAAAGGAAAAUCUUCCAAUAAAACGGGAACCGAAUCAAUCUACAACCCAUGAUAUCAAAGGAUCUUUGAGCAAGAAUUACAACUCCAAGAAGUUCCUCCAAACAUUGAUUCAAGUUAGUGUUUUGCUUCCGGUGGAUUUCUGAAGUAUCUCGGAAGGCCUGAGGAUUCAAGGCGUUCGGCAAUCAAACACUUAGUGCGGUGUCGAAUCCUUGACAAAUCGGUCUUUGGUGAAUCAAUGAGGAUUCACAUAUUUUUUUUAAGGCCGUUUGUAACUGCACGAUCUUUCAUACUUUCCCGUGGUUUUUACCCAUACAGGGGUUUUCCGCGUAUGUCGGUGUGUGCGAUGUUGUUCUUUGUUUCCUAUUAGUAUUUUGCUUGUUGACUGAUUGGAGAGCAAAAUAAGAAUUUCAAAAAACUUACUAGUUAAAGUAGAAAAUGAGGCUUUCGAGGUAUAAUUUAGCUCAAAAUUUGUAGAGAUUAAUGUCAAUGCUCUUAGUAGGAAGGCGAUACGGGAGAUCAAUAGAACACUGGAGUAUAGACGCAACAAAAGAGCCUCCUCAAAAAAAUGUGCUAAUUCAAAAUUCAUAGUUGCAAAAUAUUUUGCUUUAUUCUCAAAGAUUUGACCAUCAAGAGGGCUAAAUUGGGACGCCAGCCAAGUCAGAAUCAGGGUUAAUAUUUUUUUCACCUUUAUGAGUAACUUCACCAAGAAAUUUCUUCCGAGUAAUACAGGAAUUUAUUACUAGUUUAAACUUAGAGAGUGAGAGAGAGAGAGAACGUACCAGAGUAGACACAAGUGACAUAGAUGAGAGAUUCCCUGGGACCAGACAUGGCCUCGAGUGGAGUUGCGUAGCCAGGUCCCCCUUGUUUGCAGCACCCAUUUUUCCCUUUCACCUCCUCCUCUUCGAUCGAUCCAUAUUUCAGCACCACCACCUCUGUAGCCAUAUCUCUCUCUCUCU